Molecule: ribosomal RNA, 495 nt
Filed under: uncultured bacterium
Lineage: Bacteria
Description: partial 16S ribosomal RNA
Rfam family: Bacterial small subunit ribosomal RNA
Source: RNAcentral
GACGAACGCUGGCGGCGUGCCUAAUACAUGCAAGUAGAACGCUGAAGGAGGAGCUUGCUUCUCUGGAUGAGUUGCGAACGGGUGAGUAACGCGUAGGUAACCUGCCUGGUAGCGGGGGAUAACUAUUGGAAACGAUAGCUAAUACCGCAUAAUAGUAGAUGUUGCAUGACAUUUGCUUAAAAGGUGCAAUUGCAUCACUACCAGAUGGACCUGCGUUGUAUUAGCUAGUUGGUGGGGUAACGGCUCACCAAGGCGACGAUACAUAGCCGACCUGAGAGGGGGAUCGGCCACACUGGGACUGAGGCACGGCCCAGACUCCUACGGGAGGCAGCAGUAGGGAAUCUUCGGCAAUAGACGGAAGUCUGACCGAGCAACGCCGCGGGAGUGAAGAAGGUUUUCGGAUCGGAAAGCUCUGUUGUAAGAGAAGAACGAGUGUGAGAGUGGAAAGUUCACACUGUGACGGUAUCUUACCAGAAAGGGACGGCUAACUACGUG